GAAUUUUCCGCAAUGGGCGAAAGCCUGACGGAGCAACGCCGCGUGAGGGAGGAAGGCCUGUGGGUUGUAAACCUCUUUUCUCAGGGAAGAAGAUCUGACGGUACCUGAGGAAUCAGCAUCGGCUAACUCCGUGCCAGCAGCCGCGGUAAGACGGAGGAUGCAAGCGUUAUCCGGAAUUAUUGGGCGGAAAGCGUCCGCAGGCGGCUCAUCAAGUCUGCUGUCAAAAUCCAGGGCUCAACGCUGGCUGGGCAGUGGAAACUGGUGAGCUUGAGUACGGUAGGGGUAGAGGGAAUUCCUGGUGUAGCGGUGAAAUGCGUAGAUAUCAGGAAGAACACCGGUGGCGAAGGCGCUCUACUGGACCGUAACUGACGCUCAUGGACGAAAGCUAGGGGAGCGAAAGGG
Molecule: ribosomal RNA, 402 nt
Filed under: uncultured bacterium
Lineage: Bacteria
Description: bacterial SSU rRNA
Rfam family: Bacterial small subunit ribosomal RNA
Source: RNAcentral